CAACUUGAGAGUUUGAUCCUGGCUCAGAACGAACGCUGGCGGCACGCCUAACACAUGCAAGUCGAGCGGGAUCUUCGGAUCUAGCGGCGGACGGGUUAGUAACGCGUGGGAACGUACCCAGAUCUACGGAAUAGCCUCGGGAAACUGAGAGUAAUACCGUAUACGCCCUUCGGGGGAAAGAUUUAUCGGAUUUGGAUCGGCCCGCGUAAGAUUAGAUAGUUGGUGGGGUAAUGGCCUACCAAGUCUACGAUCUUUAGCUGGUUUGAG
Molecule: ribosomal RNA, 267 nt
Filed under: Alphaproteobacteria bacterium
Lineage: Bacteria; Pseudomonadati; Pseudomonadota; Alphaproteobacteria
Description: partial 16S ribosomal RNA
Rfam family: Bacterial small subunit ribosomal RNA
Source: RNAcentral